AUAAAGUGUCCAGGGAUGGGAAUCGAACCCACAGUGUUCCGCUUACCGGGCAGAUGCCAUGUCCACUAGGCUAUAGUUCA
Molecule: transfer RNA, 80 nt
Filed under: Cordylochernes scorpioides
Lineage: Eukaryota; Metazoa; Arthropoda; Arachnida; Pseudoscorpiones; Chernetidae
Description: tRNA-Thr
Source: RNAcentral